UGCCAGCGCAUCCUAGGAGAGCUCCCGAGCGGGGGUCAGAGUGCUUGUCCCUGGGGCUCAGUGAGCGGGAUUGAGUGCUUGUCCCUGGGGCUCAGUGAGCAGGGUUCAGAGUGCUUGUCCCUGGGGCUCAGUGAGCGGGAUUGAGUGCUUGUCCCUGGGGCUCAGUAAACGGAGUUCAGAGUGCUUGUCCCUGGGGCACAGUGAGCGGGGUUCAGAGUGCUUGUCCCUGGGGCUCAGUGAGCGGGAUUGAGUGCUUGUCCCUGGGGCUCAGUGAGCGGGAUUGAGUGCUUGUCCCUGGGGCUCAGUGAGCAGGGUUCAGAGUGCUUGUCCCUGGGGCUCAGUGAGCGGGAUUAAGUGCUUGUCCCUGGGGCUCAGUGCGCAGGAUUAAGUGCUGCCCCUGGGGCUCAGUGAGCGGGGUUCAAAGUGCUUGUCCCUGGGGCUCAGUGAGCGGGGUUCAGAGUGCUUGUCCCUGGGGCUCAGUGAACAUCCCAGCAAGGCUGUAGUCAGAACAUAGAAACAUUCUGUGAAUGAGACGUUGUAUGUUCAGAUUUUAUAAAAGCCGUUUUUAAACAAGCCCAAUUUACAGCCGUAUAUUUUCUUAUGAUGUAAUUUAUGAAAAAGAUGUCUGUUCUAACAGGUGCUCUAACACCACUGUUGUUGGGUUUUAUUGUUUGGUGAUAAAUGUGUACAAUCUUUCUAUGGGAAACUGUGUACUGUGAUGUAAAGUCUGGGCAAAAUGUACAUAAUCCUUGUAUAUAAUUGUGUAUUUGAUUAUAAUUACUGAUUGUAAAGAUUUAAUAAAACAUGUAAAUACUUGGGUCUAGUUUUACUG
This 832-nucleotide long non-coding RNA is filed under the name Oryctolagus cuniculus (rabbit). Its description in RNAcentral is "lncRNA (ENSOCUG00000035529.1)". The record is from RNAcentral. Lineage: Eukaryota; Metazoa; Chordata; Mammalia; Lagomorpha; Leporidae.